RNAcentral lists this unclassified non-coding RNA (147 nucleotides) under soil metagenome. RNAcentral describes it as "partial internal transcribed spacer 1". The record is from RNAcentral.
CCGAGUUUACAACUCCCAAACCCCUGUGAACAUACCAAUUGUUGCCUCGGCGGAUCAGCCCGCUCCCGGUAAAACGGGACGGCCCGCCAGAGGACCCCUAAGCUCUGUUUCUAUAUGUAACUUCUGAGUAAAACCAUAAAUAAAUCA